This is a non-coding RNA of Rattus norvegicus (Norway rat), 69 nucleotides long. The record is from Rfam. Lineage: Eukaryota; Metazoa; Chordata; Mammalia; Rodentia; Muridae.
GGGGAUUUAGCUCAGUGGUAGAGCGCUUGCCUAGGAAGCUCAAGGCCCUGGGUUCGAUCCCCAGCUCCG